AGACAGAGGGUGCAAACGUUGCUCGGAAUUACUGGGCGUAAAGCGUACGUAGGCGGCUAAGUAUGUCGGAUGUGAAAGCCCGGGGCCCAACCCCGGAAGUGCAUCCGAAACUGCUAAGCUAGAGUACAGGAGGGGAGAGCGGAAUUCAUGGUGUAGCGGUGAAAUGCGUUGAUAUCAUGAAGAACACCGGUGGCGAAGGCGGCUCUCUGGAAUGUAACUGACGCUGUGGUACGAAAGCGUGGGUAGCAAACAGGAUUAGAAACCCCAGUAGUCC
Molecule: ribosomal RNA, 274 nt
Filed under: uncultured bacterium
Lineage: Bacteria
Description: partial 16S ribosomal RNA
Rfam family: Bacterial small subunit ribosomal RNA
Source: RNAcentral